Molecule: long non-coding RNA, 2006 nt
Filed under: Phaseolus vulgaris (common bean)
Lineage: Eukaryota; Viridiplantae; Streptophyta; Magnoliopsida; Fabales; Fabaceae
Description: long non-coding RNA (PVUL_LNC003019)
Source: RNAcentral
CGAAACAAGGCUCUCCUAAGAGUUGUGAUAGCUUUGGAGGUGCAUGAGAAGUAUGAAGAGUAGGAGUGGUUCGGCCAACUCCCUUUGUAGGUGAAGGUUUGAAGAUUAAAAGCCUAUUCCUAAGAUAGUUUAGGCAAGGAGUGAGAAUGACACAAUUUUGACAGCAUUUCACUAUUCAAUUAAUCUUGCAUAAAUUACUUAGAUCACAACUCUUUCUAAGUCAAAUUUUAUGCAAAGGAAAACAAUGCAAAGCAAUUAAUCAAAGCUAAACAAGUAAUUACCGUAAACAAUUAAGCAAAGCUAUACAAGUAAUUAACGUAAAGCAAACUAGCUAAGCACAAUUAAAGAUUGCUAAUCUACAAAGCUUUAAACUAGACGUUUCCUAGGUGAGGCUUCUAGACACUUUGAGCCUUUGAAGACACACUCACCGUCUACACAUGAUUAAUUCACUAAUUAAACAAAGGUUAAGUGUAAUUACAACUCAAAGAAAUACAAAGAAAUUGAAUUGCACAAAUUAAAUUUCAGCUUUCUAUACUAUGCACUCCUUUGGCUUGUAGUUGCUCUUCUUUGUUGUGUCCUUCAAAGUUUAUGUGUUUGGUAUUUGUGUUUGUGUUACCUGUUGCUCCUUGCCUUAACCUCUUAUGAAUAGACAAUUAAAUUCUCCAAAACAGUACCUACUAAGUAGAGCUAGACUUACCACAAAGUCAAUUCCACUUAACAAGCACCAAUUGAAUUUAUCCACCAACAAUUUAGAGGUCAAGAAAAGAAAGUAAGAAACAAAUUAAAUUUUAAAACAGUACCACAGCAAAUGGAUUUCAAUUAUGUGACACAACUUAGAAAGAGUUUAGAGUGAUAAUGGACAAGCAAGUAAAAAUAGGCACUCAAUAAAGGAUGGCACACAAAAGGAACCUAAAGAAAGGCACUAGAAUUGAUUUGAAAAACCAAAACAGCACUACUGGAAAAGUUUCGGUCCAGAAAGCGUGACUUAAAAUAUUUAUGCUAAGCUGGCUAUUUUGAAUUUGCUUCUGAAAAUUUAACCACAAACAAUUCAAUGUCUUAGCAAGCUUUUGGCGCUGGAAUCACACCAAAAACAUGCACCAAAUAAUUGUGAUAAAUUUUUCAAAAUCACUAUCCAACUACCGUAUAUUUUGGCGCCAGGAUGCACUCUUUUUUUGUUUUAUUUAUAAUUUUUUUUUCUCUAUUUUGUCUUUUCAUCUGAUUCUUUUUUUCUUGAUUUUCUAACACAUCAACCUGUAUAGAUCCAGAUUUUCAUAAUUUUUCUUCAACGUAUUUAAAGAAACCAAAAUCAAAUCAAAUCAAGAAACCAAAAUUAUCAACAAAUUCAGCACAACAAGGAUGUGAUGACAUAUUAGGAGAAACAUGACUUAGACAAAACAUAUUAAGAUUCAGAAAUUAAAAUGACUCAAGACAAAUCAUAUGAACCGAACAGAAUUUCAAACAAGACUCAAACAACCUAAAAUCAAAACAGCAACACAAUUUCAUAUAGAUUCCUACACAAAAUAUGAAAAUAAGAAGCUCAAGAACAAUUUAAACAUUUUGCACCGAUUGAAUUGCUUAAAACAGCAACUAAAUCAAAUUAAAAAGCAAAAAAUAGCAAGACAACAUGAACAAGUGAUGAACAACACACAAAUAAGAAGAACACAAACACAAAAAUGAGAGAAGACACUUAGCUCUUGUAGAACCUAUGCUCAUGAUACCAAAUGAUGGAUUUGUGUCUUCUUCUUUGCAUUUUUGAGGUGAACUAGCGGAAGCUCCAUGGAUAUUUGGCGAAACAAGGCUCUCCUAAGAGUUGUGAUAGCCUUGGAGGUGCAUGAGAAGUAUGAAGAGUAGGAGUGGUUCAACCAACUCCCUUUGUAGGUGAAGGUUUGAAGAUUAAAAGCCUAUUCCUAAGAGAGUUUAGGCAAGGAGUGAGAAUGGCACAAUUUUGGCAGCAUUUCACUAUUCAAUUAAUCUUGCAAAUACAUGAGUCAAGCCCUCUUAUUUAU